GCCGGUAUAGCUCAGUUGGUAGAGCAGCGCACUCGUAACGCGAAGGUCGUAGGUUCAAUUCCUAUUACCGGCACCA
This 76-nucleotide transfer RNA is filed under the name Methylococcaceae bacterium. RNAcentral describes it as "tRNA-Thr". It matches the Rfam family "tRNA". Rfam says of the family: Transfer RNA (tRNA) molecules are approximately 80 nucleotides in length. Their secondary structure includes four short double-helical elements and three loops (D, anti-codon, and T loops). Further hydrogen bonds mediate the characteristic L-shaped molecular structure. tRNAs have two regions of fundamental functional importance: the anti-codon, which is responsible for specific mRNA codon recognition, and the 3' end, to which the tRNAs corresponding amino acid is attached (by aminoacyl-tRNA synthetases). tRNAs cope with the degeneracy of the genetic code in two manners: having more than one tRNA (with a specific anti-codon) for a particular amino acid; and 'wobble' base-pairing, i.e. permitting non-standard base-pairing at the 3rd anti-codon position. The record is from RNAcentral. Lineage: Bacteria; Pseudomonadati; Pseudomonadota; Gammaproteobacteria; Methylococcales; Methylococcaceae.